RNAcentral lists this ribosomal RNA (468 nucleotides) under uncultured bacterium. RNAcentral's name for it is "partial 16S ribosomal RNA". It matches the Rfam family "Bacterial small subunit ribosomal RNA", at positions 28 to 507 of the family's 1533-position model. The record is from RNAcentral.
GAUGAACGCUGGCGGCGUGCUUAACACAUGCAAGUCGAACGUAAAGGUCCUGCUCUUGCUGGGCGCUCGAGUGGCGAACGGGUGAGUAACACGUGAGUAUCCUGUCCUUGUCUUUGGGAUAACUUCAGGAAACUGGGGCUCAUAUCGGAUAGGAGCUCUUGCUGCAUGGUGGUGGUUGGUAAGUUUCGGCGGUUGGGGAUGGACUCGAGGGUUAUCCGCUUGAUGGUGUGGUAGUGGCUUACAAAGGUUUCGACGGCUAGCCGGCCUGAGAGGGUGACCGGCCACAUUGGGACUAAGAGAGGGCCCAGACGGGUACGGGAGGCAUCGGUGGGGAAUAUUACGGAAAGGGCGGGAGCCAGAUGCAGCAGCGCCGCGUGCGGGAAGACGGCCUUCGGGUUAUGAACCGCUUUCGCCUGGGACGCAGCGGGAGUGACGGUAAUGGGUAAAGAAGCACCGGCUAACUACGUG